UACGAAGGGUGCAAGCGUUACUCGGAAUUACUCGGCGUAAAGGGUGCGUAGGUGGUUCGUUAAGUCUGAUGUGAAAGCCCUGGGCUCAACCUGGGAAUUGCAUUGGAUACUGGCGGGCUGGAGUGCGGUAGAGGGUAGUGGAAUUCCCGGUGUAGCAGUGAAAUGCGUAGAUAUCGGGAGGAACAUCCGUGGCGAAGGCGACUGCCUGGACCAGCACUGACACUGAGGCACGAAAGCGUGGGGAGCAAACAGGAUUAGAUACCCU
RNAcentral lists this ribosomal RNA (265 nucleotides) under uncultured prokaryote. Its description in RNAcentral is "partial 16S ribosomal RNA". It matches the Rfam family "Bacterial small subunit ribosomal RNA", at positions 524 to 788 of the family's 1533-position model. The record is from RNAcentral.